UUCCGGUUGAUCCUKCYARAGGUCACUGCUAUCAGUGUUCGACUAAGCCAUGCAAGUCAAAUGUUCUUCGUGAACAUGGCGGACUGCUCAGUAACACGUGGAUAACCUGCCCUUAGGAUUGGCAUAACACCGGGAGACUGGUGAUAAUACCGAAUAGACCAUUUAUGCUGGAAUGCUUAAUGGUUCAAAGGCUUCUAGCUGCCUAAGGAUGGAUCUGCGGCCUAUCAGGUAGUAGUGGGUGUAAUGUACCUACUAGCCCACGACGGGUACGGGUUGUGAGAGCAAGAGCCCGGAGAUGGAUUCUGAGACAUGAAUCCAGGCCCUACGGGGCGCAGCAGGCGCGAAAACUUUACAAUGCGGGGAAACCGCGAUAAGGGGACACUGAGUGCCAGCAUAUUAUGUUGGCUGUCCACAUGUAUAAAUACCAUGUGUUAGCAAGGGCCGGGCAAGACCGGUGCCAGCCGCCGCGGUAACACCGGCGGCCCGAGUGGUGAUCACUUUUAUUGGGUCUAAAGGGUCCGUAGCCGGUUUGAUCAGUCCUCCGGGAAAUCUGACAGCUCAACUGUUAGGCUUCCGGGGGAUACUGUCAGACUUGGGACCGGGAGAGGUAAGAGGUACUACAGGGGUAGGAGUGAAAUCUUGUAAUCCCUGUGGGACCACCAGUGGCGAAGGCGUCUUACCAGAACGGGUCCGACGGUGAGGGACGAAAGCUGGGGGCACGAACCGGAUUAGAUACCCGGGUAGUCCCAGCCGUAAACGAUGCUCGCUAGGUGUCAGGGACGGUGCGACCGUUUCUGGUGCCGCAGGGAAGCCGUGAAGCGAGCCACCUGGGAAGUACGGCCGCAAGGCUGAAAMUUAAAGGAAUUGGCGGGGGAGCACUACACGGGUGGAGCCUGCGGKUUAAUUGGACUCACGCCGGAAACUCWCCGGGGGCGAMAGCAUWUGUAGGUCAGGCUAAGACCUUACCYGAAUCKCUGAGAGGAGKKSAUGUCGUCGUCAGUUCGUACUGUGAGCAUCCUGUUAAGUCAGGC
Molecule: ribosomal RNA, 1031 nt
Filed under: uncultured archaeon
Lineage: Archaea
Description: bacterial SSU rRNA
Rfam family: Archaeal small subunit ribosomal RNA
Source: RNAcentral